UGACCAUAAAAGCAUGCAAAAUGUAUUUCAGG
RNAcentral lists this non-coding RNA (32 nucleotides) under Mus musculus (house mouse). The record is from RNAcentral. Lineage: Eukaryota; Metazoa; Chordata; Mammalia; Rodentia; Muridae.